Molecule: long non-coding RNA, 722 nt
Organism: Nicotiana attenuata
Lineage: Eukaryota; Viridiplantae; Streptophyta; Magnoliopsida; Solanales; Solanaceae
Exons: 3
Source: RefSeq, a predicted model, not a curated record
CCCCCCUCAAGUUGGAGGGGGAAGAAUGGACACCCAAUGUUCCAAGAACGUCACGAUGGAGAGGCCCAGUGAGGGGUUUUGUAAAGAUAUCAGCUAGUUGAGCGCGAGUGGGAACAUACGAGAGAAAAAUCAAAUCCGACUGAAAUUGUUGACGAACAAAGUGGCAAUCAAGAUCAAUGUGCUUUGUUCGUUCGUGAAACACAGGGUUUUGAGUGAUGUGAAUAGCUGCUUGGCUAUCAGAGUGCAGAGGAAUCGAUAGAGAAGGGUAAAUAGAUAGAUUUUUGGGCAAACGGACCAACUAGGUCAACUCAGCACAACCCUGCCCAUCAAGCAAUAUUUAGCUUCAGCCGACGACAAAGAGAUCACAACAAGAAAAAGGCUUAUUAGCCACCAACAUUUAGCGACAGGCUACUAGCUGAGGAAUCUCACUACAAUAUCGCGAAUGUAUGUCAAAUGACAAUCAACUUCAAAUUAUUGCAACAAUGCCAUGAACUUCUAUGCUCUAUGUGUAUUAGGCUCUAACUUUUGUCCCCGUGCUUUUGGAUUUCCUCAGGAUGUGGAGACUCUAGUUUACAAGUCAAGAUGCAAGUUUGAAGACUUCGAACAAGUUGACAAAUUGGUUAUUGUUUUGCUAGAACUGUUAGACAAAAUAUUAUAUUAUUUUCUAGGGCUAUUAGCUUUUUCUGGGCAGAUGAGUUGUGUAACUAGUAUUGUGACAUAUA